RNAcentral lists this ribosomal RNA (442 nucleotides) under uncultured bacterium. Its description in RNAcentral is "partial 16S ribosomal RNA". It matches the Rfam family "Bacterial small subunit ribosomal RNA", at positions 339 to 795 of the family's 1533-position model. The record is from RNAcentral.
CUACGGGGUGCUGCAACUAGGAAUUUUGCGCAAUGGGGGCAACCCUGACGCAGCGACACAGCGUGGAGGAGGAAGGUCUUCGGAUUGUAAACUCCUUUUAUAUGGGAAGAAUAGAUGACGGUACCAUAUGAAUAAGCACCUGCUAACUACGUGCCAGAAGCAUCGGUGAUGCGUAGGGUGCGGACGUUAUCCGGAUUUAUUGGGCGUAAAGAGAUGCGUAGGCGUUUCAGUUAGUCUUUCGUUAAAGAUCACGGCUCAACCGUGAAAAAGCGGUGGAUACUGCUGAAAUUGAGACAUGAAGGGGUGAACGGAAUUCCAAGUGGAGCGGUGAAAUGCGUUGAUAUUUGGAGGAACAUCAGUGGCGAAGGCGGUUCACUGGUCAUUGUCUGACGCUAAGGCUCGAAAGCGUGGGUAGCAAAACGGAUUAGAUACCCCCGUAGUC